RNAcentral lists this ribosomal RNA (500 nucleotides) under Anelosimus tungurahua. Its description in RNAcentral is "partial 16S ribosomal RNA". The stretch from base 106 to 407 matches the Rfam family "Bacterial large subunit ribosomal RNA", at positions 2074 to 2646 of the family's 2925-position model. Lineage: Eukaryota; Metazoa; Arthropoda; Arachnida; Araneae; Theridiidae. The record is from RNAcentral.
UUUGUUUUUUAAUUAAAAACUAGAAUGAAAGGUUAUACAUUCAAAUUUCUUUAUUAAUUUUUAAUAAAUAAUUUAUAUUAAAUAUAAAAAUAUAUUUAUGAAAAAAAAAAGACGACAAGACCCUAUUAAAUUUUACUUAUAGUUUAGCUGGGGAAGCUUUUCAAUUAAAAUUUUUUAAAAUCUUAAAAUAAAUAUCUAAUUUAAAUUAAAAUUUAAAUAAAUUACUAUAGGGAUAACAGCAUUAUAUUUUUUAAAAGUUCAUAUUAAAAAAAAAUGAUUGUGACCUCGAUGUUGAAUUAUAUUUUCUAUAUUUAAUGCAAUAAUUAUAAAAGUAGAUCUGUUCGAUCUUUAAAAUAUUACAUGAUUUGAGUUCAAACCGGUGUAAACCAGGUUGGUUUCUAUCUUUUUAUAUAUUUUUCCAGUACGAAAGGACAAAAAAAUUUUUAUUUUAAUAAAUUAGCAAAUAUAAUGCAUUAGAUUUAGAAUCUAAAUAUAUUUAA